UACGUAGGGUGCGAGCGUUAAUCGGGAUUACUGGGCGUAAAGCGUGCGCAGGCGGUUUUGUAAGACAGGCGUGAAAUCCCCGGGCUCAACCUGGGAAUGGCGCUUGUGACUGCAAGGCUGGAGUGCGGCAGAGGGGGAUGGAAUUCCGCGUGUAGCAGUGAAAUGCGUAGAUAUGCGGAGGAACACCGAUGGGGAAGGCAAUCCCCUGGGCCUGCACUGACGCUCAUGCACGAAAGCGUGGGGAGCAAACAGG
This 253-nucleotide ribosomal RNA is filed under the name uncultured bacterium. Its description in RNAcentral is "partial 16S ribosomal RNA". It matches the Rfam family "Bacterial small subunit ribosomal RNA", at positions 524 to 776 of the family's 1533-position model. The record is from RNAcentral.